GUGGGAGUGGCCAGGGCGGGCCACAUUUGGGCUAAAGGCCAGGUGAGGGGGCUGGGCGUCCCAGAGGAAUUGGUCUGGGGCAGGUUGGGACUGAGUCGCUGGCAGAGAGAGGGGACCACAGGAGUGUGGGUCCUUCACUCCUAGGAAAGCGCAGGAGCUUCACACGUGGUGCAGCACGUGGCGGGACUCCUUCAUCAUAAGACUGCAUGCUGCGCCCUGGCAGCUGAGAUGCUUCCCCCUCUAGGCUGUUGUGAAUGGUGCCACCGCUGUGAAGAGAAGGAAGGAGCAGCUUCACACUGCGGGACCUCACAGGACACUGCCUUGGCCACGUGGUCAGUGUUAACCUCCCCAGGACCAGGCACAUCUGACCAGCUGCCUCCCGCUGUGACCCCAUGGAAGGACUCAGUGUCAUCUGCAGGAUCUUGUCAGGAACGUACAGCCUGAAUCUGAUCAUGGGAAGUACCAGGGAGACCUCAACAGAGGAAUAUGCUGAAAAUGCUGCGGCUUGUCUUCUUCAAAAUCUUCAAAGUCAUACUGGGUGUGCUGGUGCAGCCUGUCAUCCCUGCAUUCUAGGAGGCUGAGGCAGGAGGAACAGAAGAGGAAGACCAGCCUGGGUGAAACCUUUCUCUUACUACUCCAUUCUCAAGGAGCCAGGACGUCUCCAGCUGAUGUAAUCUUGGCCUGGACUGUCACAGCAUCACCGGAGGUCUCAGCUGUGACCAGAGGCAAAAAUGGAGUUAUGCCUGGACAUGCCAUAGCCCCCCUGCAGGCAGGAAAACAAGGCCUAAACAUAAUUUAAUCUUGCAAUGCUUUUCCCCCAAAGUUAUGUAGACUUGCUCUUGACAUCAACCCAUGUAUAAUUUACUGUGGCAUGCGAGGCUAGAAUCUAACCUUUCUUGAGGCAGUUACCCUGGCCUGACAUUGUUUAUGAAUAACUCAUCCAUUUCACACUUAUUCAGAAUGAAAAUCCUUAUCAUAUAUUACAUUUUCAUUUUUCUCUUUUUUCUCCUGUAUCUCUUAAGAAAGAGGAUCAAGGGAUGGGUGGAGGGCAUAGAGAGGGAAGGGAAAGCAGAUGAAAAAGAAAUUAUGAUCUCUUAUGUACAUGUACCAACCUCCCAC
This 1119-nucleotide long non-coding RNA is filed under the name Heterocephalus glaber (naked mole-rat). Its description in RNAcentral is "lncRNA (ENSHGLG00000046067.1)". Lineage: Eukaryota; Metazoa; Chordata; Mammalia; Rodentia; Bathyergidae. The record is from RNAcentral.